UUCUGUUUCCCUCGUGCGAGGAGCACAGCAGCUCUCUCUUAAACAUCUUAGUCACCGUGAGUUCGAGCUAAAUAAUCAUUUGUUUCAUUUUUUUUUUUUUUUCAAACAUCUGAAUGCACUUGGGGCGUUAGACCUUCCCGAGGCAGCAGCUUCACUGCGGGGCAGCCGCCUCCAGGGCCCCUUAAGCGAGGCCAUGAAGGAGGAGUGAGUCACCAACCGCGACAUCCUCCUUUCCUGUUCACAGAGAGAGCGACCCGGGCUGUCACUAGGAGAUGCUGGGGCAAUUUUUCACGGGAGUCAUAUGUGGAAUUGAAGAAAGGAAACCUAUGAAUGUAUGGGAAGAGGGAAAGAAAACAAUGAAAGAGGGAAACAAGCCAUAACAGGCUCUUUAAUGACCGAGAACUGCGGGUUGAUAGAGGGAGAUGCUUGGUGAAUGGCCGGAUGGAUUAAGUUCUACUUGAGAGGAUCACUUGAGAUCCUCAGUCAAGAGUCCACCACCGGGUUGAUGCCUUAAGUAUGUGUCCCUGAGAGGAGAGGUCCUAAGGGGAGGAGUGAGAGAAGAUAGAAGUGCAGCUGCACCAAGAAGUAACAGGCAGGUCCUUAAAAAUUCCGUGCUGGACCUUGGGAUCGAGAUCCCGUAGCGAGCCCUACAGUCUCAGAGAAGAACACGGGAGGGGACGGCAUGCUGGGUAUCGUCCAGCCACAAGUCCCCGCCUCUGGCGCUUCCUGAAGGACCAGAACAGAACCUACUACUGAGUGAGCCUCAGCCACCGUCUUCAUUUACACAUUUACCACAUUGUCAGCCACCUGAAUUAAUAUCUUAUAAGAACCAAUGCUUGGCUAUAUUAAUUUUCUUGAUCUUUUCUGGUCUAUUUUACUGUUCAUCUCUUUGCUGUUGACUCUUCUGUUUUGUCUGUUUACCUGUGUUUCGUAGCAAAGUCAAAUUUGUGUGUUGACUUCUGCUUACGGCGUCAUUAUUUCUAUAUACUAUUAAUUGUUCGCUUUGCUCCUUUUUUUCUAAUGUCCUAAGACAUGCAUUUAUAUCAAUUGUAUUAGGACUCUCUUCUUUCAAAUUAAAACACUUAACAGUAACAAUUUUUUUUUUCCUGUCAGCACUACUUUUGCUUUGUUGCCUACGUUGUAUGGUGUAGAUUUUAUUGUCCCUAAUCAUCUUUGGCAUGUAUUAAGUUAUGGCUUAUUUUAAAAUGUGUCACAUAGGGGAUCCCCGGGGGGCUCAGCGGUUUAGUGCCGCCUUCAGCCCAGGGCCUGAUCCUGGAGACCUGGGAUCGAGUCCCACGUCGGGCUCCCUGCGUGGAGCCUGCUUCUCCCUCUGCCUGUGUCUCUGCCUCUCUCUCUCUCUGUGUUUCUCAUAUAUAAAUAAAUAAAAUCUUUUUUUAAAAAAAGUGUCACAUAGUUUCAAGCAAGUUGAAAAUGUCCUGGAUAUCAUAUUGUUGAUUUCUAAUUUAGUCCAGUGGUGGUCAUUAAAUAUACGCUAAGAUCCCAGAGGUGAGUUUUACGGAGACUCACUGUAAGUCCCUGCAUAUAUCUCACUUUGGUGAGCAUUCCACGUACACCUGAAGAGAAUAUGUAGUAGUUGGUUGUUUUUACGAUGUUCUUUAUAUGAAAAUUAGAUCAUAUUGGUUGAAUGUAGGCCUACAAUUUUUCAGUUUCUUUUUUUUUUUCUUUUUUUUUUUUUUAGAAUUUUUCCGUUUCUUUUCUGGUGAUUUUCGUCUCGUCCUAUCAAUUCCUACAUCAGAGCUUUUAAAUAUCUGUGAUUGUUGAUUUAUCUUAUACUGCACUAAUGCUACUGGGUUUUGCUUUAUAAUUGGAAAUUUAAUUUGAUGCUUUUCUUGAGUUAUUAUGAAUUUCCAAUAAAUUGGCCACGGUAUUUCCCAA
Molecule: long non-coding RNA, 1896 nt
Organism: Canis lupus familiaris (dog)
Lineage: Eukaryota; Metazoa; Chordata; Mammalia; Carnivora; Canidae
Exons: 3
Source: RefSeq, a predicted model, not a curated record